This is a long non-coding RNA of Astatotilapia calliptera (eastern happy), 1006 nucleotides long. NCBI's taxonomy places the organism in Eukaryota, Metazoa, Chordata, Actinopteri, Cichliformes, Cichlidae. The record is from Ensembl.
AUAUAUUUAAAGACAAUUUCUUGGCUUUAAAUAGAAAGACUUAUGAAGUACACUCCAGGGUGCUUGAAACAGGCUUGAAACAAACUAUUUGUGCAGCUUACUGCAACUUACUACAAGUUCUGCAUGGGUGUCCAUUUCAUGCUCUGGUGAGGCAAAACAUGAAAUGGACAAAUGUCUUUUACAUGCUUUGUAAAAUAUCUCUUGGAAGAUGUUCACGUAGAGCACAGGCAGCACAAACAGUAUGUUUUAAUAUGAUGUAGUUUAUCUUAGUAAUAGUGGAGGAAGGUUUUUUGUGAGUGUUUAUUGUGGGCUAUUGUCUCUGCUUGCCUUUCUGAAAAAAUCAGCACUUAUAUAAAUCAAUCUGAAAUGAUUUGAAUAAUUAGUUCCUUUUGAUGUUGCUGAGCUGGCCGGUGCUUAGCCCCACUUUUUAUCUUAUUUUUUUGUUUUGUUUUAUUAAGAAUUUACAGGAUUUUUUUAUUCGACCUACCUUUAUGAUAGAUUUAUUUUGUUUGUCUACUCAGUAAUGGCCUCCUUUUUGUUCCAGUGAACAGUUGCUAAGUGAAGGUUCAAUACUUGGAUCAACUAGAGAGCUACUUAAUUGGGAACAGAAAAACAAACGACUGGCUGCGAAUCUGCUAAGAAAUGUCUAAAAAUGUCUGGAACUGUUAAACACACAAUCCAAUGCUUUUAUCAAUUUAUUAUAUAUAUUAGAAUAAUCACUGAUUCAAGUGGUUCAUAGUAACUUCAUACCCAGGCAAAAACAGGUGGUAUAGACUAAAAAUGAACUGUGUCAUAGCUGUAUGUUUUUUCCUUAUUUUUAUUUUUACAGAUACUUGUGUUCAUCGUUCUUUCAGUGUCUCUGUAUUUUUCUACCCAUCUGGUUGUCCAUCUGUCAUCCACCUAUAGUAUGUGUGAGCUAUGCAAAACUUAAUAUGUGAAUAAGGAUGUAUUUUUCACGCUACAUUUCUUAACAGUCAGUUUUUCAUACCUAUUCUGUAACUCUCUC